GGCAGGGUCUCCCCGACUUCAGGCACAGCAGCUGCACUUGUCAGACGCCCCUUUGCAGAUGCAGAGCUCGUGAAGGGAACGA
Non-coding RNA from Vicugna pacos (alpaca), 82 nucleotides. The record is from RefSeq and is a predicted model, not a curated record. NCBI's taxonomy places the organism in Eukaryota, Metazoa, Chordata, Mammalia, Artiodactyla, Camelidae.